Molecule: ribosomal RNA, 301 nt
Filed under: uncultured bacterium
Lineage: Bacteria
Description: partial 16S ribosomal RNA
Rfam family: Bacterial small subunit ribosomal RNA
Source: RNAcentral
CAGUAGCCACGGUAAUACAGAGGGUGCGAGCGUUAAUCGGAUUUACUGGGCGUAAAGCGUGCGUAGGCGGCUUCUUAAGUCGGAUGUGAAAUCCCUGAGCUUAACUUAGGAAUUGCAUUUGAUACUGGGAAGCUAGAGUAUGGGAGAGGAUGGUAGAAUUCCAGGUGUAGCGGUGAAAUGCGUAGAGAUCUGGAGGAAUACCGAUGGCGAAGGCAGCCAUCUGGCCUAAUACUGACGCUGAGGUACGAAAGCAUGGGGAGCAAACAGGAUUAGAGACCCCAGUAGUCCCUGUCUCUUAUAA